GGCAAGUGCAUUCAUGUGUAGGUGUUGA
This 28-nucleotide non-coding RNA is filed under the name Mus musculus (house mouse). Lineage: Eukaryota; Metazoa; Chordata; Mammalia; Rodentia; Muridae. The record is from RNAcentral.